This 497-nucleotide ribosomal RNA is filed under the name uncultured bacterium. RNAcentral's name for it is "partial 16S ribosomal RNA". It matches the Rfam family "Bacterial small subunit ribosomal RNA", at positions 28 to 507 of the family's 1533-position model. The record is from RNAcentral.
GAUGAACGCUGGCGGCGUGCCUAAUACAUGCAAGUCGAGCGAACGGACGAGAAGCUUGCUGCUCUGAUGUUAGCGGCGGACGGGUGAGUAACACGUGGAUAACCUACCUAUAAGACUGGGAUAACUUCGGGAAACCGGAGCUAAUACCGGAUAAUAUUUUGAACCGCAUGGUUCAAAAGUGAAAGACGGUCUUGCUGUCAGUUAUAGAUGGAUCCGGGCUGCAUUAGCUAGUUGGUAAGGUAACGGGUUACCAAGGCAACGAUGCAUAGGCGACCUGAGAGGGUGAUCGGCCACACUGGAACUGAGCCACGGUCCAGACUCCUGCGGGAGGCAGCAGUAGGGAAUCUUCCGCAAUGGGCGAGAGCCUGACGGAGCAACCCCGCGUGAGUGAUGAAGGUCUUCGGAUCGUAAAACUCUGUUAUUAGGGAAGAACAUAUGUGUAAGUAACUGUGCACAUCUUGACGGUACCUAAUCAGAAAGCCACGGCUAACUACGUG